GAAAUGCGAUAAGAAUGUGAAUUGCAGAAUUCAGUGAAUCAUCGAAUCUUUGAACGCACCUUGCGCUCCUUGGUAUUCCUUGGAGCAUGCCUGUUUGAGUAUCAUGAAAUCUUCAAAGUAAAUCUUUUGUUAACUCAAUUGGUUUCUACUUUGGUAUUGGAGGUCUUUGCAGCUUCACACCUGCUCCUCUUUGUUCAUUAGCUGGAUCUCAGUGUUAUGCUUGGUUCCACUCGGCGUGAUAAGUUAUCUAUCGCUGAGGACACUGUAAAAGGUGGCCAAGGUAAAUGCAGAUGAACCGCUUCUAAUAGUCCAUUGACUUGGACAAUACUUUUAUGAUCUGAUCUCAAAUCAGGUAGGACUACCCGCUGAACUUAAGC
Molecule: unclassified non-coding RNA, 377 nt
Filed under: plant metagenome
Description: partial contains 5.8S ribosomal RNA, internal transcribed spacer 2, and large subunit ribosomal RNA
Rfam family: 5.8S ribosomal RNA (bases 1-104)
Source: RNAcentral